GACGAACGCUGGCGGCGUGCUUAACACAUGCAAGUCGAGCGGUAAGGCCCUUUCGGGGGUACACGAGCGGCGAACGGGUGAGUAACACGUGGGUGACCUGCCCUCAGCUCUGGGAUAAGCCUGGGAAACCGGGUCUAAUACUGGAUAUGACUCCAUGACGCAUGUUGUGGGGUGGAAAGCCUUGUGCGGCUGAGGAUGGGCCCGCGGCCUAUCAGCUUGUUGGUGGGGUGANGGCCUACCAAGGCGACGACGGGUAGCCGGCCUGAGAGGGCGACCGGCCACACUGGGACUGAGACACGGCCCAGACUCCUACGGGAGGCAGCAGUGGGGAAUCUUGCGCAAUGGGCGAAAGACCUGACGCAGCGACGCCGCGUGAGGGAUGACGGCC
Molecule: ribosomal RNA, 388 nt
Filed under: uncultured bacterium
Lineage: Bacteria
Description: bacterial SSU rRNA
Rfam family: Bacterial small subunit ribosomal RNA
Source: RNAcentral